UACAGAGGGGGCAAGCGUUGUUCGGAAUUACUGGGCGUAAAGGGCGCGUAGGCGGCCCGCUAAGUCGAACGUGAAAUCCCCGGGCUCAACCCGGGAACUGCGUCCGAUACUGGCGGGCUUGAAUCCGGGAGAGGGAUGCGGAAUUCCAGGUGUAGCGGUGAAAUGCGUAGAUAUCUGGAGGAACACCGGUGGCGAAGGCGGGUCUCUGGGCCGAUACUGACGCUGAGGAGCGAAAGCGUGGGGAGCAAACAGG
This 253-nucleotide ribosomal RNA is filed under the name uncultured bacterium. RNAcentral describes it as "partial 16S ribosomal RNA". It matches the Rfam family "Bacterial small subunit ribosomal RNA", at positions 524 to 776 of the family's 1533-position model. The record is from RNAcentral.